GUGCUCACUUUGGCAGCACAUAUACUAAAAUUGGAAUGAUGCAGAGAAGAUCAGCAUGGUCCCUGUUCAGGGAUGACACACAAGUUCAUGAAGCAUUCUGUAUUUUU
Small nuclear RNA from Bison bison bison, 107 nucleotides. NCBI's taxonomy places the organism in Eukaryota, Metazoa, Chordata, Mammalia, Artiodactyla, Bovidae. The record is from Ensembl.